Molecule: ribosomal RNA, 479 nt
Filed under: uncultured bacterium
Lineage: Bacteria
Description: bacterial SSU rRNA
Rfam family: Bacterial small subunit ribosomal RNA
Source: RNAcentral
CACUGUCACUCCUACGGGGAGGCAGCAGUGGGGGAAUAUUGCACAAUGGGCGCAAGCCUGAUGCAGCCAUGCCGCGUGUGUGAAGAAGGCCUUCGGGUUGUAAAGCACUUUCAGUCGUGAGGAAGGUGGUAGUGUUAAUAGCACUAUCAUUUGACGUUAGCGACAGAAGAAAGCACCGGCUAACUCCGUGCCAGCAGCCGCGGUAAUACGGAGGGUGCGAGCGUUAAUCGGAAUUACUGGGCGUAAAGCGCAUGCAGGUGGUUUGUUAAGUCAGAUGUGAAAGACCCGGGGCUCAACCUCGGAAUAGCAUUUGAAACUGGCAGACUAGAGUACUGUAGAGGGGGGUAGGAAUUUCAGGUGUAGCGGUGAAAUGCGUAGAGAUCUGAAGGAAUACCGGUGGCGAAGGCGGCCCCCUCGGACAGAUACUGACACUCAGAUGCGAAAGCGUGGGGAGCAAACAGGAUUAGAUACCCUGGUAG